This 1436-nucleotide unclassified non-coding RNA is filed under the name uncultured Neocallimastigales. RNAcentral's name for it is "partial contains small subunit ribosomal RNA, internal transcribed spacer 1, 5.8S ribosomal RNA, internal transcribed spacer 2, and large subunit ribosomal RNA". The stretch from base 659 to 1436 matches the Rfam family "Eukaryotic large subunit ribosomal RNA", at positions 1 to 628 of the family's 3401-position model. The record is from RNAcentral. Lineage: Eukaryota; Fungi; Neocallimastigomycota; Neocallimastigomycetes; Neocallimastigales.
UUUCCGUAGGUGAACCUGCGGAAGGAUCAUUAAAAAAUUGGACUCCAUUGGUGAGUUCAUUAAUAAUCCCUACCCUUUGUGAAUUUGUUUGUUUGAAUAAUUUUUUUUCCAAAAAAAAUUAUUGAAUGUCUUUCCUUGUUUUGGUGGAGCUUGUAAAGUGAAACCAGGCAGGGGAAUGGCAAACAAUAAUUAUUUUUGAAAAAGACCUUUUUUUAAAAUUAAACUUUUUGUAUUCAUUUGUCUAAAAUUAAUUUUUAUAAUAUAAAAACAACUUCUGACAAUGGAUCUCUUGGUUCUCGCAACGAUGAAGAACGCAGCAAAAUGCGAUAAGUAGUGUGAAUUGCAGAAUACGUGAAUCAUCGAAUCUUCGAACGCAUAUUGCACUUUUUUAGUUUACUAAAAAAGUAUGUCUGUUUGAGUAUCAGUAAAAUAUUCUCAUAAAAAACAUUGUUUUUUUAUGGUUAUGAGUGUUUUACAACGAUAACAAGUUGUUUCACUUUAAAUUCUUUGUUAUCAAAAAAAUCAUUAAAAGCUAAUUUUAAAGAUUUUUUAAAAUUGGAUAAAAUUUUCCCGUAAAAAGGAAUAACCUAAACAAUUUUAAAAAAUUAAAAUUGGUUUGAUUUUUUUGAAACCCAAAGGAAAAAAAACGAAAUUAACUUGAUCUCAAAUCAGAUAAGAGUACCCGCUGAACUUAAGCAUAUCAAUAAGCGGAGGAAAAGAAACUAACUAGGAUUCCCUCAGUAACGGCGAGUGAAGCGGGAAGAGCUCAAAUUUGAAAUCUUCAAGGUUUUACCUUGACGAAUUGUAGUUUAAAGAAGUGUUUUCUGUUGGAGUUUUGGUAAAAGUUCUUUGGAAAAGGACAUCAUAGAGGGUGAGAAUCCCGUAUUUGACCAUUAUCUCCAGCUUUGUGAUACACUUUCAAAGAGUCGGAUUGUUUGGGAAUGCAGUCCAAAAUGGGUGGUAAAUUUCAUCUAAAGCUAAAUACUGGCGAGAGACCGAUAGCGAACAAGUACCGUGAGGGAAAGAUGAAAAGAACUUUGAAAAGAGAGUUAAACAGUACGUGAAAUUGUCAAAAGGGAAGCGUUUGACACCAGUGUUGUUUUCUCGAAAAUCAAUUAAAAAAGGCCGGAUUUUGUGUUGUAUUGACUUUAUCAGCUUUCUGCACUCUUUUCUUGUCUUUUUUAAUGCACUUUUCGUUUAACAAGUCAACAUCAAUUUCUUUUGUUGUAAAAGGGUCAUUGGAAGGUGGCUUUCUUUUCGGAGAAAGUGUUUAUAGCCUUUGGCCUCUGCAAUCGGAGAGAUUGAGGUCUGCAGCGUAGAUCCUUCGGGGUUAGAUACAUUUGUGCUAAGUUAUAGCCUUUCAUAGACAACUUGUUGACUAUGAUCAGCCAUGUAGCUUACUCGCUUAUGCUAUUUUACCUACGCUUAGGAUGUUG